Molecule: ribosomal RNA, 465 nt
Filed under: Vreelandella stevensii
Lineage: Bacteria; Pseudomonadati; Pseudomonadota; Gammaproteobacteria; Oceanospirillales; Halomonadaceae
Description: partial 16S ribosomal RNA
Rfam family: Bacterial small subunit ribosomal RNA
Source: RNAcentral
CCUACGGGUGGCAGCAGUGGGGAAUAUUGGACAAUGGGGGCAACCCUGAUCCAGCCAUGCCGCGUGUGUGAAGAAGGCCCUCGGGUUGUAAAGCACUUUCAGUGAGGAAGAACGCCUGGUGGUUAAUACCCAUCAGGAAAGACAUCACUCACAGAAGAAGCACCGGCUAACUCCGUGCCAGCAGCCGCGGUAAUACGGAGGGUGCGAGCGUUAAUCGGAAUUACUGGGCGUAAAGCGCGCGUAGGUGGCUUGAUAAGCCGGUUGUGAAAGCCCCGGGCUCAACCUGGGAACGGCAUCCGGAACUGUCAAGCUAGAGUGCAGGAGAGGAAGGUAGAAUUCCCGGUGUAGCGGUGAAAUGCGUAGAGAUCGGGAGGAAUACCAGUGGCGAAGGCGGCCUUCUGGACUGACACUGACACUGAGGUGCGAAAGCGUGGGUAGCAAACAGGAUUAGAUAACCUGGUAGUC